Molecule: ribosomal RNA, 465 nt
Filed under: uncultured Arsenophonus sp.
Lineage: Bacteria; Pseudomonadati; Pseudomonadota; Gammaproteobacteria; Enterobacterales; Morganellaceae
Description: bacterial SSU rRNA
Rfam family: Bacterial small subunit ribosomal RNA
Source: RNAcentral
CCUACGGGAGGCUGCAGUGGGGAAUAUUGCACAAUGGGCGCAAGCCUGAUGCAGCCAUGCCGCGUGUAUGAAGAAGGCCUUCGGGUUGUAAAGUACUUUCAGUCGUGAGGAAGGUGUUAAGGUUAAUAACCUUAGCAAUUGACGUUAGCGACAGAAGAAGCACCGGCUAACUCCGUCCCAGCAGCCGCGGUAAUUCGGAGGGUGCGAGCGUUAAUCGGAAUUACUGGGCGUAAAGGGCACGCAGGCGGUUAAUGAAGUUGGAUGGGAAAAGCCCGGGCUUAGCCUGGGAAUGGCAUUCAAGACUGGUUAGAUGGAGUCUUGUAGAGGGGGGUAGAAUUCCAUGUGGAGCGGUGAAAUGCGUAGAGAUGUGGAGGAAUACCGGUGGCGAAGGCGGCCCCCUGGACAAAGAAUGACGCUCAUGUGCGAAAGCGUGGAGAGCAAACAGGAUUAGAUACCCUUGUAGUC